Molecule: ribosomal RNA, 3657 nt
Filed under: Triticum aestivum (bread wheat)
Lineage: Eukaryota; Viridiplantae; Streptophyta; Magnoliopsida; Poales; Poaceae
Description: partial small subunit ribosomal RNA
Source: RNAcentral
AUGAAGGCCCUGUUUUGGAACAUUAGAGGGUUCUGCGCUAGGGGGCGCAGAGACCAACUGAAGGACUUAAUGCGCGCUGAAAGAAUUGAUUUUAUCGGGCUUGUUGAGACUCUUAAACCCUCCUUUUCUCCUUCUGAACUAUCGGCGAUUGCUGGGAUUGAUAGAUUUAGGUGGAAUUUCGUGGCCUCUGUUGGUCAGUCCGGCGGCUUUCUUCUGGGCACCAAUAAUGUCACCUUUGAUUUUGUGGCUUUCGACCAUGGUAUAUACUGGGCUAGUAUGGUAGUUUCCCUACGUUCCAAUAACACCCUCCUUGAACUUAUGGUAGUAUAUGGUCCGACUGAUCAUUCCUUGUCACAAAUUUUCUUGGAUGAGAUUUUUACUAAAAUUGAUGUCUGCCAACUGCCACUCCUGAUUGGGGGUGAUUUUAAUCUGCUUCGGUAUCCUUCUGAUAAGAGUUCUGUCAAUUUCUCCUGGGUGCUGGCCGAGGCUUUUAAUGCUUUCAUCAGGGACACGGCUAUCCGUGAGAUCCCGAGGGUUGGGGCCCGCUACACUUGGACCAACCGACGGACUUGUCCUAUUCGCUCGGUUCUUGAUAGAGUUUUUAUCUGCCCUGCUUGGGAUGGCCUUUUUCCUCGCUGCUCACUUCGGGCCCUCCCCAUCGCCGGGUCCGAUCACGCUCCUCUCAUCCUUGACGAUGGUCUCUGCCCCAAUGGCUGCCAAAGAUUUCAAUUUGACGCGUCCUGGCUUUUAGUGGAAGGGUUCCCUGAUAUGCUGGCUCAGAAGAUCUUGGCCUUUCUUACCUCCCCCCAUCGUUCAUUUGGCCCUAUGGAUGACUGGCAUUAUGUUUCUUACUCCCUACGCAAGUUCCUUAGAGGAUGGGCCAAGAACCACUUUGCUGAGUCGAGGCGCGACAAAUCUAGGUUGAGUGCUCAAAUUAGUGCCCUCGACUCCCGUGCGGACAACGGUGGGCUCUCGGCUACUGAGUGGCAAGUUCGCUAUGGCCUUGAGAAGGAGCUUCUGGCUAUUCAUCGCCAAGAGGAAGUGUAUUGGAAGCAAAGGGGUACGAUUAAUUGGACUCUUAAGGGUGAUUCUCCCACGGCUCACUUUUUCGCCAUUGCGAAUGGCAGACGGCGUAGAUGUUUGAUUAACAGCCUCAUUAUUGAUGGUGUUAGGGUCUCUGAACCACCGGUCAUUCUCCAUCAUGUAGUUCGGUUCUUCUCUAACCUGCUUUCGGCUAAACCAGACCUCGGAUUCGCGCUAGCCCCGGGCUUCUGGGCUCCCAUUGAUAGGAUGUCUCACGCUGAUAAUGAGCUUCUGUUGAUUCCCCCUUCUGAGGAGGAAAUUUUUGAUACUAUUCGGACGGCUAAUUCUAAUGCGGCUUCAGGCCCUGAUGGUUUCUCCAUUCCGUUCUUUCGACAAUUCUGGCCCCAACUAAAAGGUCUAAUUUCUGCUGUCAUCCAAGGGUAUUGGCUGGGAUCGGUUGACAUUUCUAGACUUAACUAUGCGGUUCUCUCCCUCAUCCCUAAGGUCAAGGGUGCGGAUAUGAUUUCUCAAUUUAGGCCGAUUGCUUUAAUCAACAACUUCGCAAAGAUGCCUGCAAAGGGCAUGGCCACUAGGCUAUCUCCCAUUGCACAUCGGACCAUUAGCCCUUUCCAGUUUGCUUUCAUCAAAGGGAGGUUCAUUUUGGACGGGGUACUUUGUUUACAUGAGAUUGUUCGUGACUUACGGGUGCGAGGGACCAAGGCUGUGGUUCUCAAACUUGACUUUGAAAAGGCCUACGACUCGGUUAGCUGGAAAUUCCUUCGGCAAGUUCUUUUGGCUAAGGGCUUUGAGGGGCCUGUUAUGCAGCGCUUGAUGCAAUUGGUUUCUGGGGGGCACACGGCUGUGGCUGUCAAUGGCCAAAUUAGCCAGUUUUUUGCUAAUGGCAGCGGCCUCAGGCAAGGGGAUCCAGCGUCCCCUUUACUCUUCAACUUUGUGGCUGAUGCUCUAUCUCGCAUUCUCUCUCGAGCUGCCUUGGCUGGUCAUAUCACUCCGGUGAGCUCUCAUCUCAUCCCUAAUGGCAUCUCUCAUCUCCAAUAUGCGGAUGAUACUAUAAUUCUGAUGGAACUUAAUGAUAAUAGCCUCACCAAUCUGAAAUUCCUUCUGCUUUGUUUCGAAGCGCUCUUAGGUCUUAAAAUCAAUUUCUCUAAGAGUGAGGUUGUAGUGACUGGGGUCUCGGACGAAGAGGCGCAGCGGGUGGCCCAUCUUCUGAACUGCUCUUUGGGAUCCUACCCUCUCAAAUAUCUAGGCCUCCCCAUUUCCCCGCUUAAACUUUUGGCUAAAGACUUUGCUCCGGUGGUUACCAAAGUUGGUAACAGAGUUCUCCCUUGGCGAGGGCGAUAUAAUACGCAAGCGGGCAAGGUCGCCCUUACUAACUCCUGUCUUUCUUCGCUACCUAUGUUCUUAAUGGGAUUCUAUCUUCUCUCUAGUGGGGUUCAUAAUGGUUUUGACAAGCAUAGGGGUGCUUUCUAUUGGAACGCAGCGGACAAUAAACGUAAGUACAGGAUGGUCAGAUGGGACAUUAUAUGUCGCCCCAAGGCCAAAGGGGGUCUGGGCAUUAUUAAUACGCGAGUGAUGAAUAAUUGUCUUAUGAUCAAAUGGUGGUGGAAGAUCAUGACUCUUGAGGAACUGCCACCCUGGCUCUCUAUCCUAAAAGCUAAAUAUUUCCCCUCCUCGAGUCCUAUGUUCGCGCCGGCUGCGGGUGGGUCGCAAUUUUGGCAUCAACUGGUUAAAGUCUGGCCGAUCUUUCGGUCCCUUGUAAAAUUUGUAGUUAGGAACGGUAAGUCUACGCGGUUUUGGCUUGAUUGGUGGGUCGGGGACUCCACGCUGGCUGUUGCUUUUCCGGUUCUAUUUUCAUAUUGCGAUGAUUCUGAGGUUUCUAUCUUUGAGCUCUCGGCUAGGGGUUGGGUUCUGGAUUUUCGUCGUUCUCUUUCUCCUGAAGAGUUGGAAGAUUGGCAGCGCCUUACUGCUUGCUUCCCCCUGCUCUCGGAGGAAGAGGAUGCCGUGGUGUGGCCCCUCUCCUCUUCGGGGCGUUUUUCGGUUAAAUCUGCUUACUCCAAGCUUAUCCCUGGGGGGCGCCCGGUCAAGUUUAAGCAUGUCUGGUUGGCUCGAAUUCCUCCUAAGAUCAAGAUAUUUCUCUGGCAAGCUGUCCGGAGUAAGCUUCCGGCGGCCGAUCAGAUUAAGAAAAGAAACGGGCCGGGGUCCGACAGGUGUGUGCUUUGUGGGGCACUGGACAACACCGAGCAUAUUUUCUUUCACUGCUCCUUAGCUAAACUUAUGUGGAGUUGCAUCAGACUCUGGUUACAUGUAAAUUGGUCCCCUUCCUCCUUUGAAGACCUGCGGCAUUAUGUCAAUCUUCUUUUUGGCCAUUCUAAAAGAGUCUUCUUAGUUGGAUGGGCUGCGAUUGGCUGGUCAUUGUGGACUACUAGGAAUAAGUUCUCGAUUGAACAUAUUUUUCCGGCUAAUCCUGUCAAUUGCUUAUUUAAAGCCAAUGGUUUCUUGCAGCAGUGGAGACUAUUGACUAAAGAAGGGGACCUCCAGGCCUUCGACGCCAUGUUAUCCAAGAUGAAAUCUACGACGUCUGGGCUUCUUCGGCUUUCUUUGAGGACGGCUUCCUGA